This is a non-coding RNA of Sphaerobolus stellatus SS14, 85 nucleotides long. The record is from the annotation of a GenBank genome assembly. Lineage: Eukaryota; Fungi; Basidiomycota; Agaricomycetes; Geastrales; Sphaerobolaceae.
GUGCCCAUCGAUUAGUGGUUAAAUCAGUUCGUUGUGGUGGGUCUGCAAUACCGAACAGCCCCGCGUUCGACUCGCGGUGGGCACA